Molecule: transfer RNA, 72 nt
Filed under: Bos taurus (domestic cattle)
Lineage: Eukaryota; Metazoa; Chordata; Mammalia; Artiodactyla; Bovidae
Also listed under: 1 other name
Rfam family: tRNA
About the family: Transfer RNA (tRNA) molecules are approximately 80 nucleotides in length.
Source: Rfam by way of RNAcentral
UCCUCGUUAGUAUAGUGGUAAGUAUCCCUACCUGUCACGCAGGAGAUGGGGGUUUGAUUCCCCAAUGGGGAU